AUUGAACGCUGGCGGCAUGCUUUACACAUGCAAGUCGAACGGCAGCACGAGUGCUUGCACUUGGUGGCGAGUGGCGGACGGGUGAGUAAUACAUCGGAACGUAUCCUUAAGUGGGGGAUAACGCAUCGAAAGAUGUGCUAAUACCGCAUAUUCUCUGUGGAGGAAAGUAGGGGAUCGAAAGACCUUAUGCUUAUGGAGCGGCCGAUGCCUGAUUAGCUUGUUGGUGGGGUAAUGGCCUACCAAGGCGACGAUCAGUAGUUGGUCUGAGAGGACGACCAGCCACACUGGGACUGAGACACGGCCCAGACUCCUACGGGAGGCAGCAGUGGGGAAUUUUGGACAAUGGGCGAAAGCCUGAUCCAGCAAUGCCGCGUGAGUGAAGAAGGGCCUCGGUUGUAAGUACGU
Molecule: ribosomal RNA, 405 nt
Filed under: uncultured bacterium
Lineage: Bacteria
Description: bacterial SSU rRNA
Rfam family: Bacterial small subunit ribosomal RNA
Source: RNAcentral